This 28-nucleotide small RNA is filed under the name Bombyx mori (domestic silkworm). RNAcentral describes it as "ovarian small RNA-34199". Lineage: Eukaryota; Metazoa; Arthropoda; Insecta; Lepidoptera; Bombycidae. The record is from RNAcentral.
UGCUGAAAACAGUAGUGCUUUCCUUGAC